UAACCAUUUCAAUUUGUUCCUUGC
Molecule: non-coding RNA, 24 nt
Filed under: Arabidopsis thaliana (thale cress)
Lineage: Eukaryota; Viridiplantae; Streptophyta; Magnoliopsida; Brassicales; Brassicaceae
Source: RNAcentral